GUCCUACGGGGCGCAGCAGUGAGGAAUAUUGGUCAAUGGGCUUACGCCUGAACCAGCCAAGUCGCGUGAGGGAAGACUGCCCUAUGGGUUGUAAACCUCUUUUGUCAGGGAGCAACGCCGGCUACGUGUAGCCGGACUGAGAGUACCUGAAGAAAAAGCAUCGGCUAACUCCGUGCCAGCAGCCGCGGUAAUACGGAGGAUGCGAGCGUUAUCCGGAUUUAUUGGGUUUAAAGGGUGCGUAGGCGGGACGGUAAGUCAGCGGUAAAAAUGCGGAGCUCAACUCCGUCGAGCCGUUGAAACUGCCG
This 305-nucleotide ribosomal RNA is filed under the name uncultured bacterium. Its description in RNAcentral is "bacterial SSU rRNA". It matches the Rfam family "Bacterial small subunit ribosomal RNA", at positions 335 to 638 of the family's 1533-position model. The record is from RNAcentral.